CCUACGGGAGGCAGCAGUGGGGAAUAUUGGACAAUGGCGCAAGCCUGAUCCAGCCAUACCGCGUGUGUGAAGAAGGCCUUCGGGUUGUAAAGCACUUUAAGUAAGGAAGAAAAGAGUAUUGUUAAUACCAAUACUCCGUGACAUUACUUACAGAAUAAGGACCGGCUAAUUCCGUGCCAGCAGCCGCGGUAAUACGGAAGGUCCAAGCGUUAAUCGGAAUUACUGGGCGUAAAGCGCGCGUAGGUGGUUUAUUAAGUUGGGUGUGAAAGCCCCGGGCUCAACCUGGGAACUGCAUCCAAAACUGAUUCACUAGAGUACGAAAGAGGAAAGUAGAAUUCACAGUGUAGCGGUGGAAUGCGUAGAUAUUGUGAAGAAUACCGAUGGCGAAGGCAGCUUUCUGGUUCUGUACUGACACUGAGGUGCGAAAGCGUGGGUAGCGAACAGGAUUAGAUACCCUGGUAGUCCACGCCGUAAACGAUGACAACUAGCUGUUGGGAAGCUAUGCUUUUCAGUGGCGCAGCUAACGCCUUAAGUUGUCCGCCUGGGGAGUACGGCCGCAAGGUUAAAACUCAAAUGAAUUGACGG
Molecule: ribosomal RNA, 585 nt
Filed under: uncultured bacterium
Lineage: Bacteria
Description: bacterial SSU rRNA
Rfam family: Bacterial small subunit ribosomal RNA
Source: RNAcentral